CUCCAUGUAAUCUGAUUCAUUAUGAUCUAGGAUCAGGUCUCCCUCUCCAUGUAAUCUGAUUCAUUAUGAUCUUGGUUAAUUAUGAUCUAGGAUCAGGUCCCCCUCUCCCUGUAAUCUGGUUAAUUCUGAUCUAGGAUCAGGUCCCUCCUCUCCAUGUAAUAUGAUUCAUUAUGAUCUAGGAUCAGGUCUCCCUCUCCAUGUAAUCUGAUUCAUUAUGAUCUUGGUUAAUUAUGAUCUAGGAUCAGGUCCCCCUCUCCCUGUAAUCUGGUUAAUUCUGAUCUAGGAUCAGGUCCCUCCUCUCCAUGUAAUAUGAUUCAUUAUGAUCUAGGAUCAGGUCCCCCUCUCCAUGUAAUCUGAUUCAUUAUGAUCUAGGAUCAGGUCCUCCCUCUCCAUGUAAUCUGAUUCAUUAUGAUCUAGGAUCAGGUCCCCCUCUCCAUGUAAUCUGAUUCAUUAUGAUCUAGGAUCAGGUCCCUCCUCUCCAUGUAAUCUGAUUCAUUAUGAUCUAGGAUCAGGUCCCUCCUCUCCAUGUAAUCUGAUUCAUUAUGAUCUAGGAUCAGGUCUCCCUCUCCAUGUAAUCUGAUUCAUUAUGAUCUAGGAUCAGGUCCCCCCUCUCCAUGUAAUCUGAUUCAUUAUGAUCUAGGAUCAGGUCUCCCUCUCCAUGUAAUCUGAUUCAUUAUGAUCUAGGAUCAGGUCCCC
Oncorhynchus keta (chum salmon) is the source of this 696-nucleotide long non-coding RNA. RefSeq lists it as uncharacterized. The transcript has 5 exons. NCBI's taxonomy places the organism in Eukaryota, Metazoa, Chordata, Actinopteri, Salmoniformes, Salmonidae. The record is from RefSeq and is a predicted model, not a curated record.